This 285-nucleotide unclassified non-coding RNA is filed under the name uncultured Piloderma. RNAcentral describes it as "sequence contains ITS2". The stretch from base 1 to 52 matches the Rfam family "5.8S ribosomal RNA", at positions 103 to 154 of the family's 154-position model. The record is from RNAcentral. Lineage: Eukaryota; Fungi; Basidiomycota; Agaricomycetes; Atheliales; Atheliaceae.
AACGCACCUUGCGCUCCUUGGUAUUCCGAGGAGCAUGCCUGUUUGAGUGUCAUUAAAUACCUCAACCCCGAUGGAUUUGUUUCUUUCGGGGCUUGGACUUUGGAGCGUGCUGGCGCGAGUCGGCUCCUCUCAAAUGCAUCAGCGGAAAUCAAUCUUUGGCUUUCGGACUUCAGUGUGAUAAUCACGUUGCGCUGUGGCACGAGCCUCAAGGUCCGCUUACAAUGGUCUUUGGACGAUUUCAUUGAAUUUGACCUCAAAUCAGGUAGGACUACCCGCUGAACUUAA